AUAGCUUCUCGGCUUUUUGGCUAAGGUCAAGUAUAGUAUCUGUUUUUAUCAGUUUAAUAUCUGAUAUGUCCUCUAUCUGAGGACAAUAUAUUAAUUACCAAGGAUGAAGGAACUACUGGACUUAGGUCCUCAGGUACCGUCAGUUGUCCCAUCUACAUGGAUGGAAACUCU
Rattus norvegicus (Norway rat) is the source of this 171-nucleotide small nuclear RNA. Ensembl annotates it as U2 spliceosomal RNA. The record is from Ensembl. Lineage: Eukaryota; Metazoa; Chordata; Mammalia; Rodentia; Muridae.